GCACAAGCGGUGGAGCAUGUGGUUAAUCGACGCAACGCGAAGAACCUUACCAGGGCUUGACAUCCCCUGACCGCGUAUGAAAGUACGUUUUCACCCUCGGGUGACAGGGAGACAGGUGGUGCAUGGGUUGUCGUCAGCUCGUGUCGUGAGAUGUUGGGUUAAGUCCCGCAACGAGCGCAACCCCUACGUUUAGUUGCUAACAGGUGAAGCUGAGCACUCUAGACGAACUGCCGUUGACAAAACGGAGGAAGGUGGGAUGACGUCAAAUCAUCAUGCCCCUUAUGUUCUGGGCUACACACGUGCUACAAUGGCCGGUACAGACGGAGGCGAAGCCGCGAGGCGGAGCAAAUCCGAAAAAGCCGGUCUCAGUUCGGAUUGCAGGCUGCAAUUCGCCUGCAUGAAGUCGGAAUCGCUAGUAAUCGCAGGUCAGCAUACUGCGGUGAAUACGUUCCCGGGCCUU
This 460-nucleotide ribosomal RNA is filed under the name uncultured Pelotomaculum sp. Its description in RNAcentral is "bacterial SSU rRNA". It matches the Rfam family "Bacterial small subunit ribosomal RNA", at positions 923 to 1382 of the family's 1533-position model. Lineage: Bacteria; Bacillati; Bacillota; Clostridia; Eubacteriales; Desulfotomaculaceae. The record is from RNAcentral.